UACGGGGGGGGCAAGCGUUGUUCGGAUUUACUGGGCGUAAAGGGCGCGUAGGCGGCGCGACAAGUCACUUGUGAAAUCUCCGGGCUUAACCCGGAGCGGCCAAGUGAUACUGUCGUGCUGGAGUGCGGAAGGGGCCACCGGAAUUCUCGGUGUAGCGGUGAAAUGCGUAGAUAUCGAGAGGAACACCUGCGGCGAAGGCGGGUUGCUGGGCUGACACUGACGCUGAGGCGCGAAAGCUAGGGGAGCGAACGGG
RNAcentral lists this ribosomal RNA (253 nucleotides) under uncultured bacterium. Its description in RNAcentral is "partial 16S ribosomal RNA". It matches the Rfam family "Bacterial small subunit ribosomal RNA", at positions 524 to 776 of the family's 1533-position model. The record is from RNAcentral.